Molecule: ribosomal RNA, 254 nt
Filed under: uncultured bacterium
Lineage: Bacteria
Description: partial 16S ribosomal RNA
Rfam family: Bacterial small subunit ribosomal RNA
Source: RNAcentral
UACAGAGGGUGCGAGCGUUGUCCGGAAUCACUGGGCGUAAAGGGCGCGUAGGUGGUGGCUUAAGCGUGCGGUGAAAGCUCGGGGCUCAACCCCGAGUCGGCCGUGCGAACUGGGCUCACUGGAGCAUAGUAGAGGCAGGUGGAAUUCCGGGUGUAGCGGUGGAAUGCGUAGAGAUCCGGAAGAACACCGGUGGCGAAGGCGGCGCUCUGGGCCGGAACUGACGCUGAGGAGCGAAAGCGUGGGUAGCAAACAGG